Molecule: ribosomal RNA, 497 nt
Filed under: uncultured bacterium
Lineage: Bacteria
Description: partial 16S ribosomal RNA
Rfam family: Bacterial small subunit ribosomal RNA
Source: RNAcentral
GAUGAACGCUGGCGGCGUGCCUAAUACAUGCAAGUCGAGCGAACGGACGAGAAUUUUGCUUUUCUGAUGUUAGCGGCGGACGGGUGAGUAACACGUGGAUAACCUACCUAUAAGACUGGUAUAACUUCGGGAAACCGGAGCUAAUACCGGAUAAUAUUUUGAACCGCAUGGUUCAAAAGUGAAAGACGGUCUUGCUGUCACUUAUAGAUGGAUCCGCGCUGCAUUAGCUAGUUGGUAAGGUAACGGCUUACCAAGGCAACGAUGCAUAGCCGACCUGAGAGUGUGAUCGGCCACACUGGAACUGAGACACGGUCCAGACUCCUACGGGAAGCAGCGGUAGGGAAUCUUCCGCAAUGGGCGAAAGCCUGACGGAGCAACGCCGAGUGAGUGAUGAAGGUCUUCGGAUCGUAAAACUCUGUUAUUAGGGAAGAACAUAUGUGUAAGUAACUGUGCACAUCUUGACGGUACCUAAUCAGAAAGCCACGGCUAACUACGUG